RNAcentral lists this ribosomal RNA (493 nucleotides) under uncultured bacterium. RNAcentral describes it as "bacterial SSU rRNA". It matches the Rfam family "Bacterial small subunit ribosomal RNA", at positions 33 to 507 of the family's 1533-position model. The record is from RNAcentral.
GACACGCUGGCGGCGUGCUUAACACAUGCAAGUGGAGCGACGAACCGGGGGCUUGCCCCGGGGCAGAGCCGCGAACGGGUGAGUAACACGUGGGUAACCCUGCCUCAAUGAUUGGGACAACCCGGGGAAACUCGGGCUAAUACCAAAUGUGUUCACUCCUUCUAAGGGGAGUGAGGAAAGGAAGCUUCGGCCUCCGCAUUGAGAUGGGCCCGCGGCCCAUUAGCUUGUUGGUGAGGUAACGGCUCACCAAGGCUUCGAUGGGUAGCUGGUCUGAGAGGACGAUCAGCCACACUGGGACUGAGACACGGCCCAGACUCCUACGGGAGGCAGCAGUGGGGAAUCUUGCACAAUGCGCGAAAGCGUGAUGCAGCAACGCCGCGUGGGGGAAGACGGCCUUCGGGUUGUAAACCCCUUUCAGUUGGGACGAAGCUUCGUCGGUGAAUAGCCGGUUGGAGUGACGGUACCUUCAGAAGAAGCCCCGGCUAACUACGUG